RNAcentral lists this ribosomal RNA (494 nucleotides) under uncultured bacterium. RNAcentral describes it as "partial 16S ribosomal RNA". It matches the Rfam family "Bacterial small subunit ribosomal RNA", at positions 28 to 507 of the family's 1533-position model. The record is from RNAcentral.
GACGAACGCUGGCGGCGUGCUUAACACAUGCAAGUCGAACGGUGAAGCGCCUUCCUUUUUGGUGGGUGUGGAUGAGUGGCGAACGGGUGAGUAACACGUGAGUAACCUGCCCCCUUCUUCUGGAUAACCGCAUGAAAGUGUGGCUAAUACGGGAUAUUCUGGGUCUGUCGCAUGAUGGGUCUGGGAAAGAUAUUGUUUCGGUGGGGGAUGGGCUCGCGGCCUAUCAGCUUGUUGGUGGGGUGAUGGCCUACCAAGGCGGUGACGGGUAGCCGGCCUGAGAGGGUGGACGGUCACACUGGGACUGAGACACGGCCCAGACUCGUACGGGGGGCAGCAGUGGGGAAUAGUGCACAAUGGGCGCAAGCCUGAUGCAGCGACGCCGCGUGAGGGAUGGAGGCCUUCGGGUUGUGAACCUCUUUCGCCAGUGAAGCAGGCCUGCCUCGUUUGUGGGUGGGUUGACGGUAGCUGGAUAAGAAGCGCCGGCUAACUACGUG